RNAcentral lists this ribosomal RNA (464 nucleotides) under uncultured bacterium. Its description in RNAcentral is "partial 16S ribosomal RNA". It matches the Rfam family "Bacterial small subunit ribosomal RNA", at positions 339 to 795 of the family's 1533-position model. The record is from RNAcentral.
CUACGGGCUGCUGCAGUGGGGAAUUUUGGACAAUGGGCGCAAGCCUGAUCCAGCCAUUCCGCGUGAGUGAAGAAGGCCUUCGGGUUGUAAAGCUCUUUCGCAAGGGAAGAAAACUUAUCCUCUAACAUAGGGUGAGGUUGACGGUACCUUGAUAAGAAGCACCGGCUAACUACGUGCCAGCAGCCGCGGUAAUACGUAGGGUGCGAGCGUUAAUCGGAAUUACUGGGCGUAAAGCGUGCGCAGGCUGUUUUGUAAGUCAGAUGUGAAAUCCCCGAGCUCAACUUGGGAACUGCGUUUGAAACUACAAGACUAGAAUAUGCCAGAGGGGGGUAGAAUUCCAUGUGUAGCAGUGAAAUGCGUAGAGAUGUGGAGGAAUACCAAUGGCGAAGGCAGCCCCCUGGGAUAAUAUUGACGCUCAUGCACGAAAGCGUGGGGAGCAAACAGGAUUAGAUACCCGCGUAGUC